RNAcentral lists this ribosomal RNA (253 nucleotides) under uncultured bacterium. RNAcentral's name for it is "partial 16S ribosomal RNA". It matches the Rfam family "Bacterial small subunit ribosomal RNA", at positions 524 to 776 of the family's 1533-position model. The record is from RNAcentral.
UACGAAGGGGGCUAGCGUUGCUCGGAAUCACUGGGCGUAAAGCGCACGUAGGCGGUUUCUUAAGUCGGGGGUGAAAUCCCCGGGCUCAACCCGGGAACUGCGUCCGAUACUGGAAGGCUUGAAUCCGGGAGAGGGAUGCGGAAUUCCAGGUGUAGCGGUGAAAUGCGUAGAUAUCUGGAGGAACACCGGUGGCGAAGGCGGCAUCCUGGACCGGCAUUGACGCUGAGGCGCGAAAGCCAGGGGAGCAAACGGG